UACAGAGGUCUCAAGCGUUGUUCGGAUUCAUUGGGCGUACAGGGUGCGUAGGUGGCGCCGUAAGUCAGGUGUGAAAUCUCGGGGCUCAACCCCGAAACUGCACUUGAUACUGCGGUGCUCGAGUACUGGAGAGGAGAUUGGAAUUUACGGUGUAGCAGUGAAAUGCGUAGAUAUCGUAAGGAAGACCAGUGGCGAAGGCGAAUCUCUGGACAGUUACUGACACUGAGGCACGAAGGCCAGGGGAGCAAACGGG
Molecule: ribosomal RNA, 253 nt
Filed under: uncultured bacterium
Lineage: Bacteria
Description: partial 16S ribosomal RNA
Rfam family: Bacterial small subunit ribosomal RNA
Source: RNAcentral